Molecule: small RNA, 102 nt
Organism: Lonsdalea quercina
Lineage: Bacteria; Pseudomonadati; Pseudomonadota; Gammaproteobacteria; Enterobacterales; Pectobacteriaceae
Rfam family: RprA RNA
About the family: Translational regulation of the stationary phase sigma factor RpoS is mediated by the formation of a double-stranded RNA stem-loop structure in the upstream region of the rpoS messenger RNA, occluding the translation initiation site.
Source: Rfam
AGUGUUUAAAUCACAUCUGUCCGGAGGUUUCUCCUCGUCAGAGCCAGUAACGAAUUGCUGUGUGUAGUCUUUGCCCAUCCCCUGUGAUGGGCUUUUUUUUUG